UACGUAGGGGGCAAGCGUUAUCCGGAUUUACUGGGUGUAAAGGGAGCGUAGACGGCGUGGCAAGUCUGAAGUGAAAGGCGGGGGCCCAACCCCCGGACUGCUUUGGAAACUGUCAUGCUUGAGUGCGGGAGGGGCAAGCGGAAUUCCUAGUGUAGCGGUGAAAUGCGUAGAUAUUAGGAGGAACACCGGUGGCGAAGGCGGCUUGCUGGACCGUAACUGACGUUGAGGCUCGAAAGUGCGGGUAUCGAAC
Molecule: ribosomal RNA, 250 nt
Filed under: uncultured prokaryote
Description: partial 16S ribosomal RNA
Rfam family: Bacterial small subunit ribosomal RNA
Source: RNAcentral